RNAcentral lists this transfer RNA (74 nucleotides) under Oophaga sylvatica. Its description in RNAcentral is "tRNA-Val". It matches the Rfam family "tRNA". Rfam says of the family: Transfer RNA (tRNA) molecules are approximately 80 nucleotides in length. Their secondary structure includes four short double-helical elements and three loops (D, anti-codon, and T loops). Lineage: Eukaryota; Metazoa; Chordata; Amphibia; Anura; Dendrobatidae. The record is from RNAcentral.
CAAAAUGUAGCUUAACUUUAUCAAAGCCCUUCGCUUACAUCGAAGUAAUAUCCGUGAAAUUCUGAUCAUUUUGA